Molecule: ribosomal RNA, 503 nt
Filed under: Campylonotus rathbunae
Lineage: Eukaryota; Metazoa; Arthropoda; Malacostraca; Decapoda; Campylonotidae
Description: partial 16S ribosomal RNA
Rfam family: Archaeal large subunit ribosomal RNA
Source: RNAcentral
UCUGUAUGAGAAGAGUAUAAAGUCUAGCCUGCCCACUGAAAUUUAAAGGGCCGCGGUAGUUUGACCGUGCGAAGGUAGCAUAAUCAAUAGUCUCUUAAUUGGAGGCUGGAAUGAAUGGUUGAACAAGAGAUAGUCUGUUUCUAUUAUAAAAAUUGAAUUUAACUUUUAAGUGAAAAGGCUUAAAUUACCAAGGGGACGAUAAGACCCUAUAAAACUUUAUAAAUUAUUAAUUGCCUUUCGAAUUAAAAUAUAAAGUUGGGAAGUUAAUAUUUAUUCGGUUGGGGCGACUAGAAUAAAAUAGAUAACUGUUCGGAAAAUUAAAUAGGUAUUUUUAGGGAGUUUGAUCCUUUUUUAGGGAUUAUAAGAAGAAGUUACUUUAGGGAUAACAGCGUGAUUUUUUCUGAGAGUUCUUAUCGACGAAAGUAGUUGCGACCUCGAUGUUGAAUUAAGAUUUCUAUAACGUGCAGCAGUGUUAAUAGUGGGUCUGUUCGACCUUUAAAAUC